Molecule: ribosomal RNA, 506 nt
Filed under: uncultured bacterium
Lineage: Bacteria
Description: partial 16S ribosomal RNA
Rfam family: Bacterial small subunit ribosomal RNA
Source: RNAcentral
AUUGAACGCUGGCGGCAGGCCUAACACAUGCAAGUCGAGCGGCAGCGGGAAGUAGCUUGCUACUUUGCCGGCGAGCGGCGGACGGGUGAGUAAUGUCUGGGAAACUGCCUGAUGGAGGGGGAUAACUACUGGAAACGGUAGCUAAUACCGCAUAACGUCGCAAGACCAAAGAGGGGGACCUUCGGGCCUCUUGCCAUCAGAUGUGCCCAGAUGGGAUUAGCUAGUAGGUGGGGUAACGGCUCACCUAGGCGACGAUCCCUAGCUGGUCUGAGAGGAUGACCAGCCACACUGGAACUGAGACACGGUCCAGACUCCUACGGGAGGCAGCAGUGGGGAAUAUUGCACAAUGGGCGCAAGCCUGAUGCAGCCAUGCCGCGUGUAUGAAGAAGGCCUUCGGGUUGUAAAGUACUUUCAGCGGGGAGGAAAGUGUUGAGGUUAAUAACCUCAGCAAUUGACGUUACCCGCAGAAGAAGCACCGGCUAACUCCGUGCCAGCAGCCGCCGUAA